GACGAACGCUGGCGGCGUGCCUAAUACAUGCAAGUCGAACGCAUUUUCUUUCACCGUAGCUUGCUACACCGACAGAAAAUGAGUGGCGAACGGGUGAGUAACACGUGGGCAACCUGCCCAUCAGCGGGGGAUAACACUUGGAAACAGGUGCUAAUACCGCAUAAUUCCAUUUACCGCAUGGUAGAGGGAUGAAAGGCGCUUUUGCGUCACUGAUGGAUGGACCCGCGGUGCAUUAGCUAGUUGGUGGGGUAACGGCCUACCAAGGCUGCGAUGCAUAGCCGACCUGAGAGGGUGAUCGGCCACACUGGGACUGAGACACGGCCCAGACUCCUACGGGAGGCAGCAGUAGGGAAUCUUCGGCAAUGGACGCAAGUCUGACCGAGCAACGCCGCGUGAGUGAAGAAGGGUUUCGGAUCGUAAAACUCUGUUGUUAGGGAAGAACAAGGAUGAGAGUGGAAAGUUCAUCCCUUGACGGUAUCUAACCAGAAAGCCACGGCUAACUACGUG
This 507-nucleotide ribosomal RNA is filed under the name uncultured bacterium. RNAcentral's name for it is "partial 16S ribosomal RNA". It matches the Rfam family "Bacterial small subunit ribosomal RNA", at positions 28 to 507 of the family's 1533-position model. The record is from RNAcentral.